AUGGUCGACACCAGGCGGAGCGCCGCGGCCAAGCGCCCCUCGGACGACGACGACAAGGGCUCGCCGCCGCCGCCGUCCGACCAGGCGCCGGGGGCCGAGGCCCAGUCGUCGGGCGCCCGCAGGCCCGGCAAGCGCGCCAAGGCUACGGCGCCCGAGGAGGAUACCACCAAGACGGCCGCGCCGGCGACAGAUGCGGCCGAGGCGGCGGCUGAGGCGGCUAUCGCCACCGGUCCGCCGGUCGCACCGCCGGACACCACCGGCCUCCAGGCGCUCACCGGCGCCAUGGACAGGCUGGAGGCCUUCCUGAGGUCAGGGGAGGCGGCGUCGAAUUCGGACGGGCAUAAGCGUGGCGCCGCUGACAAAGAUUUAUCCGCAAUGUUGAAGAGGGCCAAGGAUUUGUCUGCCAAGGCCACAUCCAACAAACGCCAGGGCGCACUGGGCAGCAGGCGCCAGGAGCCCUGGUGCAGGCUAAUCUCACAGUAUGCCACGGAUCCUUCCCUUCCUAUUCAUUCCUCCUAUUUUACUGUUGGUUAUGGAGCACAAUAUGAUUUGAGACUGGGCGAGUCAUCUACUAGCUCACUUGUUUGUAAACUGAAGCUUGCUACUAAGCGAGGUGCUCUACUUGAAAUACACGAGCCCAAAGUUGUUCGUGUAAAUGGCAAGGCUUUGGACAAGAAUGCUAAAGUUACCUUAAAUGGAGGGGAUGAAAUUGUCUUCAGUUCACCUUUGAGGCGUGCUUACAUAUUUCAGCAACACCAGCAGGAUAAAUCAAGCACUUCAGCGUUUUCCUCUACUUGCAGUAGUAUCCAUCAGGGGCAACAUUCACUUAUCAAAGAUAUUCAAGAUCAUCUGUCAUCUAAAGGACCCAAAUUACCAUCCUUUUACUUUGGUAAAAGCCGACCUCCAUUGACUCCAUUGACUCCAUUGAUGCCUAUUGGAUCAUCUGCGGAUCCAGAUAUAUUUGGUAGUUUCUGUAAAACAAGGGAGGACCAGUCUAACUCUGAAGAAAGUACACAGUCUGCCCGGUCUCAACUAUCAAAGGAGGAUCUAAAAAAUGCAACACAUGAUGCUAGUGACAUAUCUGAGUCAUUUGAUAAUUUUCCAUAUUAUCUAAGCGAGGAUACCAAAUGUGCUCUUCUGUCAUCAGCAUUUGUGCAUUUACAAUGCAAAGACUAUAUUGAGUUUACCAGACACAUUUCUUCUCUCGGUCAACGAGCAUUGCUAUCCGGUCCGGCAGGGACUGAGAUCUACCAACAAUAUCUGGUGAAGGCACUUGCAAAACAUUUCGGUGCAAGGUUGCUCACAGUCAAUUCUUCAAUGCUGUUCGGUGGGCAGACUUCCAAGGAAUUAGAGUCAUACAAAAAAGGUGAUAGAGUGAGGUACAUUGGUUCAUUACUGCCGACAAACGUUAUCCUUGACGGACAUAGUCCUCCAGAAUUUGGCUCGCUAGGUCAAAUAUGUCUUCCUUUCGAAGAAAAUAGAUCAUCAAAGGUUGGGGUAAGGUUUGAUGAACAAAUCCCAGGAGGUAUUGAUCUUGGAGGCAGUUGUGAAGUUGAUCAUGGCUUAUUUUGUUCAGUUGAUUCUUUAUGCCUCGACAGUCCAGGAUGGGAAAAUAGAUCCAAGCACCCAUUUGAUAUGAUCAUUCAGUUUAUCUCUGAAGAAAUACAGCAUGGUCCUAUGGUCCUAUUUCUGAAGGACACAGAAAAAAUAUGUGGGAAUAAUGAUUCCUAUUAUGGUCUGAAGAGCAAGCUUGAACAUUUCCCGGCAGGUGUCUUUAUUGUUGGUUCUCAUAUCCAGCCUGACAGUCGCAAAGAGAAGGCAAAUGCGGGGUCUCUUUUCCUUUCAAAGUUCCCUUAUAGCCAAGCAAUUCUUGACCUUGCAUUGCAGGACUUGGAUCGAGUACAUGAUAAAAGUAAGGAAAUGUCAAAGGGGAUGAGGCAUCUAACAAAGAUUUUCCCAAAUAAAGUGACGAUCCAACCACCACAAGAUGAAGUUGAGCUUUCACGGUGGAACCAGAUGUUAGAUCAAGAUAUCGAAAUUCUUAAAGCAAAUGAUAACACUUCAAAAAUACGCUCUUUUCUAACGCGGAUUGGCUUGGAAUGCUCUGAUCUUGAGGCAAUAUGUGUCAAGGAUCGCACCCUUACAAAUGAGUGUAUUGAUACAAUAGUUGGUUUUGCUUUGAGCCAUCAACUAAAGCACUUAACAGCUACAAACCCUGACCCUUCAAUUGAUUUGCAGUUUUCCCUAUCUAGUGAAAGUCUGAAGCAUGGAGUUGAUAUGUUGGAAAGUAUCCAGUCUGGCCCUAAGACCAGCAACAAAAGGAAGUCACUUAAGGACAUUGCUACGGAAAACGAAUUUGAAAAGAGGCUUCUUGCCGAUGUUAUACCUCCAGAUGAAAUAGGAGUUACAUUUGAGGACAUCGGAGCACUGGAAAGUGUCAAGGAAACUCUGAAGGAGUUAGUGAUGCUGCCCUUGCAAAGGCCUGAAUUGUUUUCCAAAGGACAACUUAUGAAGCCAUGUAAAGGGAUAUUACUUUUUGGUCCGCCUGGUACGGGGAAGACGAUGCUUGCGAAAUCUGUGGCAACAGAGGCUGGUGCUAAUUUCAUAAACAUAUCAAUGUCAAGUAUAUCCUCAAAGUGGUUUGGUGAAGGAGAGAAGUACGUGAAAGCUGUGUUUUCACUGGCAAGCAAAAUUGCUCCAAGUGUCAUUUUCGUAGAUGAGGUUGAUGGCAUGUUGGGUAGACGUGAGAACCCUGGAGAGCAUGAAGCCAUGCGCAAGAUGAAAAACGAGUUUAUGGUGAACUGGGAUGGGUUAAGAACAAAAGAUAAAGAACGCGUAUUAGUCCUUGCUGCGACUAAUAGGCCAUUUGACCUUGAUGAAGCUGUUAUUAGGAGGCUUCCAAGGAGGUUGAUGGUGAAUUUGCCUGAUGCAUCAAAUAGAAGAAAAAUUAUUAGCCUCAUACUAGCCAAAGAAGAUUUGGCAGAUGACCUUGAUCUUGAAGCCAUUGCUAAUUUGACGGAAGGAUACUCGGGCAGUGAUCUUAAGAAUCUUUGUGUGACUGCUGCUCAUCUUCCUAUUAGAGAGCUCCUUGAAAAGGAGAAAAAGGAGAGAGCUUUGGCAGAAGCAGAAAACAGACCAUUGCCCCAAUCGUGUUCUAGCAGUGAUGUCCGUGCCUUGAGAAUAAGUGAUUUCAAACAUGCACAUGAACAGGUUUGUGCAAGUGUAUCUUCUGAUUCAACGAAUAUGAAUGAGCUUGUUCAGUGGAAUGAUCUCUACGGAGAAGGUGGGUCGAGGAAAACGACAACGCUAAGCUACUUUAUGUAG
RNAcentral lists this ribosomal RNA (3324 nucleotides) under Triticum aestivum (bread wheat). RNAcentral describes it as "partial small subunit ribosomal RNA". Lineage: Eukaryota; Viridiplantae; Streptophyta; Magnoliopsida; Poales; Poaceae. The record is from RNAcentral.